AUGAUAUCAAACAGUAUUUCCCUCAGUUUGGGUUCUCAGUUUAUACGGUGUUCAUUGCGACUUGGAAUUGGAUGCCCUACUUGAACAGCUCCACGACGGAAUCCUCCUUUCAAGUCGUUUUAGUCAUUUGCAGAAGUCUUUCUUUUGUCAUAAUGAACUACGGAAAUGUAUCUUCAACUGAUGAAAGUUUUCAGGCUGGCUAUGACACAAUAAACUCAACAGAUUAUUUUU
Molecule: long non-coding RNA, 231 nt
Organism: Puntigrus tetrazona (Sumatra barb)
Lineage: Eukaryota; Metazoa; Chordata; Actinopteri; Cypriniformes; Cyprinidae
Exons: 3
Source: RefSeq, a predicted model, not a curated record